This 26-nucleotide non-coding RNA is filed under the name Mus musculus (house mouse). The record is from RNAcentral. Lineage: Eukaryota; Metazoa; Chordata; Mammalia; Rodentia; Muridae.
UGCCUGCAGAUUGAGAUAUAGUACUC